Molecule: long non-coding RNA, 609 nt
Filed under: Rattus norvegicus (Norway rat)
Lineage: Eukaryota; Metazoa; Chordata; Mammalia; Rodentia; Muridae
Description: long non-coding RNA NONRATT024192
Source: RNAcentral
CUAGAAGGAAGCUGUCUGAUUGAAAGGAAAGAAACUAAUCGGAAGCCAAAGAACUACCUCCAAAACCAUCAUCAAGGCCACAGCCAUCACGCCCACCUGUGCAGCUGAAUGCCGGCUCCCAGAGUAAUAGAAAUGAAUAUAAGCUAUAUCCUGAGCUUUCUAGCUAUCAUGAGAAAACUGGUACUUUCCAUGUAGCCAUUCCCACACUGAAUCCUCACCGCUGACCCGGGAUAAGACAGCUGUGCAGAUAUCAGCAGUGAGGAAGCAUGGCUGUGAUACUACAACGCUGGGCAGGGAUAGAGCAAGCCUGUAACCUGGGUCCAACCCACAAGGAGCUCCACUCGGCCCAAGAUGGUUCUUACCCACUAUUCACUAAGAGCUUUAUAACCCAUCUCUGAUCUCGAAUUAAGUUAUACAUUGUUACACAUAACGUUUGUUUCAAGCUGAAUAGCAUUAAUGGACCUGCACACUAAGGAGUCAAAGGUCAGUUAUGGAGCUUGGCCAGAAUGCAGCAUUUCCCUGUGGCUGUUGCCCCCAGUUUCUUUGUUUGGCUUUCCUUGGUGAUGGGCCAUACAUAACCUGUAAGAUUAAAUAAACCCUUCUCUCCCC